Molecule: small nuclear RNA, 77 nt
Filed under: Neotoma lepida (desert woodrat)
Lineage: Eukaryota; Metazoa; Chordata; Mammalia; Rodentia; Cricetidae
Description: U4 spliceosomal RNA
Rfam family: U4 spliceosomal RNA
About the family: U4 small nuclear RNA (U4 snRNA) is a component of the major U2-dependent spliceosome.
Source: Rfam by way of RNAcentral
AGCUUUGCNCACUGACAGUAUUGUAGCCAAUGAGAUUUAUCCAAGGUGCAAUUAUUGCUAAUUAAAAAUUUGACAUG